ACACUUGUAUGAUUCUCCCCUUUGAAACUUCAAACUCCAGUUUGUGAGCAAAGUCCUGUCUAUCUUCUGAAUAGGAAUCUCCGACCACUGACCAAACUCCAUUUGCAACCACUGCCUAUUUGUACCUUCUCCUCAAUGACUACAUUUCAUUUCCCUCAAGGCAAGUGGCAGGGGAAGCAAAACAGUAAAAAAAAAAUGAACAAGGCAGCGGAAGGAAGAGGGGAAAGAGGAAAUAAAGAUGACGGCUGUGGCCUGGAGGAAAACGAGGAACUCGCUCUGUCCUGUUUUGGGGAUUGUUUCUGAGAGAUCUGCAACACAGUGGAAAUGUGAGGCACAUCCAGGAGCGUGUUGAUAAGAGUAAAACAGACGGAGACAAUAUGCUGCCUGCAGCAGAUAUGAGGCCGGAAGAAAGAGGUGGUUGCAGGAGAUGGAGGAGAUAGCUGGAUGCACCUUUUCAUGAGAACUGAUUUUAAAUACGUCUUCAUCUCCCAGCAAAAAAAGGUCAGUAAAGGACCGAAGCGCAGAGGUCGACUGUGCUGGGAAACGAUUAUUUUGAUAAUAAAUGAAGAUCGAAUCAGCCGAGAACAAUGAGAAGUCAUGGAGCUGAGAUCGUCUCUGGUGUAUGGAGAGAAAAUUGUUUCAAUAUUUUUAAAAGCCCAGAGC
Long non-coding RNA from Cyprinodon tularosa, 663 nucleotides. RefSeq lists it as uncharacterized. The record is from RefSeq and is a predicted model, not a curated record. The transcript is spliced from 3 exons. NCBI's taxonomy places the organism in Eukaryota, Metazoa, Chordata, Actinopteri, Cyprinodontiformes, Cyprinodontidae.